Molecule: ribosomal RNA, 419 nt
Filed under: uncultured bacterium
Lineage: Bacteria
Description: bacterial SSU rRNA
Rfam family: Bacterial small subunit ribosomal RNA
Source: RNAcentral
GAAUAUUGGGCAAUGGCCGAGAGGCUGACCCAGCCAUGCCGCGUGCAGGAAGAAGGCCUUCUGGGUUGUAAACUGCUUUUAUCUGGGAAGAAAACGCCCCUGCGGGGGUAACUGACGGUACCAGAUGAAUACGCACCGGCUAACUCCGUGCCAGCCGCCGCGGUAAUACGGAGGGUGCAAGCGUUGUCCGGAUUUAUUGGGUUUAAAGGGUGCGUGGGCGGCCAAUUAAGUCAGUGGUGAAAUCCUUCCGCUUAACGGGAGAACUGCCAUUGAAACUGGUUGGCUUGAGUACGGUUGAAGUAGGCGGAAUUUAUGGUGUAGCGGUGAAAUGCAUAGAUACCAUAAAGAACACCGAUAGCGUAGGCAGCUUACUAAGUCGUAACUGACGCUGAGGCACGAAAGCAUGGGGAGCGAACAGG